UAUUAAACUUUUUCUUAACAAAGAUGGAUCCCUUUGGUGUUGAAUUUUGAGGGCGGCUCUUAGUCGAUAUUCCUUCGUCUUUUAUGCGAAGGGUUCCCGUUUAGAAAACUUCUUCCGGUUAUGUUUAUGGUUUCUUCUGACCGGUUGUCUCUAAAAGCGUUAGGCUUUAUUGUAUUACUGGGGGAACUGAAACAUCUUAGUACCCCAAGGAAUAUUUAUCAAAAGAGAAUUCCGUGAUUAGUGGCGAGCGAAAACGGUUUCGGUUUCUUAAGGAAUGUUGCGAAGUCCAGAGAGGGUGUCAAGUCCCGUAGCUAAGCUAUUUUGCUGUGAUUUCUUAAGGAAAGUUGGUUUAAGUAUGGUGGAAAAAGCCUUUUCCGCUAGAAAAUUGGGGAACCUUCCUCAGAACCUGAACAUACAUUUCGGCGACCUAUAGUGAAAAGUACCGUAAGGGAAAGGAUGAAAAGAGCUCUCUUAGGGUAGUGAAAUUAGAUCGUGAAAUCUCUGUUUUUUAUCAGUCUUUCUAAAGAAUUACCUUUUGUAUAAUGGUUCAGCGAGUUUUUUAUAAAAGCAAGCCUAAGAAUUUAUUUUGGAGGCGUAGCGAAAGCGAGUUUUAAAUUGCGUUAGUUUUUAUAAAAAGACCCGAAACAAAGUGAUCUAACCAAGGCCAAGCUGAUGAUAAUCUUACGCGAUUGUCUGAGGGUUGAACUCGUGUCUGUUGCAAUAGAUUGAGAUGAGCUUUGGUUAGGGGUGAAAAGCCAAUCGAACUUUGAGAUAGCUGGUUUUUCGCGAAAUGUAUUUAGGUACAGUCUCUAACUUAUCCUGCCCAAGGUAGAGCACUUUUUGGAAUUCUUGGGGAAUUCAUUCUUACUUGAUCCUUGAAAACUCCGAAUGUGGGCUAGGCUUAUUAGGGAAUGAGACUUUGGGUGCUAAGGUCCUAAGUCAAAAGGGAAACAGCCCAGAUCGGUAUUUAAGGCCUCAAAUGUUCGCUUAGUGAAAAGGAGUCUUAAAAUCCUUGACAGCAAGAAGGUAAGCUUGGAAGCAGCUACCCUUUAAAGAAAGCGUAAUAGCUCACUCGCUUAUUGAUUUUAAACUCUGAAAAUUUAUAGAGUCUUUUAACGAACAGCCGAAAAUCCGAUAACCUUUUAGGUUAGGUAGCGAAACGUUCUGUUUUAAAGAAGGCUUGUUGUAAAACAAGGCUGGAAACAUCAGAAUUGAGAAUGCUGAAAUGAGUAACGAAAAUUAAGUAAAAAAGCUUAAUCACCGUAAACCCAAGGUUUUCUUUGAAACUAAUUUUGCAAAGAAAUAGCCGAUCCCUAAGUUUAUCUACGAACGUAUAACGACAAUGGGAAAACAACAUGUUGCCUUUUAAACGCGACGACAUUAAUUUAUCUGUAAUUCCCUAUUGCAGUAUAAGAAUGCUCCAGGAAAAAACGUUUAGAUUGAUUAAGAUCGUACUAUAAACCGACACUGGUGGGUUAGUAGCUUUCUACUAAGGUGCUCGAGAUAACAACUCAUAAGGAACUCGGCAAAAUAAUCUCGUAACUUCGGAAGAUGAGAUGUCUUACAAGGGUAACCUUGUCAAGAUGGCACGAAAUUGGGAAAAGCGACUGUUUAACAAAAACACAAGACUUUGCAAAUUUGCAAUAAAAAGUAUAAAGUCUGACAUCUGCCCAGCACUAAUUGGUGAGAAAAAGAAGGUUUGCGCUUUUUUUAUAAGCUGUAGUAAACGGCUGCAGUAACUCUGACUGUAUGAAAGUAGCGAAAUUCCUUGGCUGUUAAUUGCAGUCCCGCAUGAAUGAUGUAACGACUUUUCCACUGUCUCUUGAGUUGUCUCGGUGAAAUUGAACUCUGUGUGAAGAUGCGCAGAAAACCUAGAAAGACAAGAAGACCCUAUGCCGCUUUACUAAAUCCAGUUAUUACAUUUCGUAUAGUCUCGUGUAGUCUAGGUGGUAGCGCUUUGCGCGCCCAUGAAAAACCACUCUUUUCUAUUGCGAUUUGUUCUACUUAACGGUCUUCCGAAAAGUGCCUGGUUGUUAGUUUUUCUGGGGCGGAAGACUCCUAAAUAGUAACGGAGCCGCGCAAAAGGCAAACUCUCACUAAUUCGUUUAGUGCUUGAGUGUAAUGGCAAAAGUUUGCUUGACUGCAAGACUGACAGGUCGCGCAGAGAUUUAUGUCGGCCAUAUUGACCCGAUGGUGCUGAAUGGAAAGGCCAUCGAUUAACGGAUAAAAGUCACGCUAGGGAUAACAGGCUGAUGCCUUCUUAGAGCACUUAUCGAUGAAGGAUUUUGGCACCUCGAUGUUGACUCGUCCUAUCCUCCGGCUGUACAAGGUCUGAAGGGUUCGGCUGUUCGCCGAUUAAAAGGGUACGUGAGUUGAGUUCAGAACGUCGCAAGACAGUUCGGUUUAUAUCUUCUAGGUUUUGGAAAUUGAGAGACCUUGGCCUUAGUACGAGAGGAUUGGGUAAACUUUGCCUAUGGUUUGCUAGUUGUUUUAAUUAAGCACGCUGGUCAGCUACGCAAGGAAAAAAGUAUUGCUGAAAGCAUAUCAAGCGAAAAAUUUAUCUCAAAAAUAUUUCCCCUAAUUAGCGGUGUGUUUAUCACCACCUUGAUAGGCUAUUCGAUUUUUGUCGUAUUAGUACUAAGCUGAUUUUUAUUUAAG
RNAcentral lists this ribosomal RNA (2658 nucleotides) under Diacronema viridis. RNAcentral's name for it is "large subunit ribosomal RNA". It matches the Rfam family "Bacterial large subunit ribosomal RNA". Lineage: Eukaryota; Haptophyta; Pavlovophyceae; Pavlovales; Pavlovaceae. The record is from RNAcentral.